RNAcentral lists this ribosomal RNA (769 nucleotides) under uncultured bacterium. RNAcentral's name for it is "bacterial SSU rRNA". It matches the Rfam family "Bacterial small subunit ribosomal RNA", at positions 8 to 772 of the family's 1533-position model. The record is from RNAcentral.
AGAGUUUGAUCCUGGCUCAGAUUGAACGCUGGCGGCAGGCCUAACACAUGCAAGUCGAGCGGUAGAGAGAAGCUUGCUUCUCUUGAGAGCGGCGGACGGGUGAGUAAUACCUAGGAAUCUGCCUGAUAGUGGGGGAUAACGUUCGGAAACGGACGCUAAUACCGCAUACGUCCUACGGGAGAAAGCAGGGGACCUUCGGGCCUUGCGCUAUCAGAUGAGCCUAGGUCGGAUUAGCUAGUUGGUGAGGUAAUGGCUCACCAAGGCUACGAUCCGUAACUGGUCUGAGAGGAUGAUCAGUCACACUGGAACUGAGACACGGUCCAGACUCCUACGGGAGGCAGCAGUGGGGAAUAUUGGACAAUGGGCGAAAGCCUGAUCCAGCCAUGCCGCGUGUGUGAAGAAGGCCUUCGGAUUGUAAAGCACUUUAAGUUGGGAGGAAGGGCAGUUACCUAAUACGUGACUGUCUUGACGUUACCGACAGAAUAAGCACCGGCUAACUCUGUGCCAGCAGCCGCGGUAAUACAGAGGGUGCAAGCGUUAAUCGGAAUUACUGGGCGUAAAGCGCGCGUAGGUGGUUUGUUAAGUUGAAUGUGAAAUCCCCGGGCUCAACCUGGGAACUGCAUCCAAAACUGGCAAGCUAGAGUAUGGUAGAGGGUAGUGGAAUUUCCUGUGUAGCGGUGAAAUGCGUAGAUAUAGGAAGGAACACCAGUGGCGAAGCGACUACCUGGACUGAUACUGACACUGAGGUGCGAAAGCGUGGGGGAGCAAA